Molecule: ribosomal RNA, 460 nt
Filed under: uncultured bacterium
Lineage: Bacteria
Description: SSU rRNA
Rfam family: Bacterial small subunit ribosomal RNA
Source: RNAcentral
AGGAUAAACGCUGGCGGCGUGCCUAACACAUGCAAGUCGAACGUCCUACGCGCAAGCGUAGGGAGUGGCGGACGGGUGAGUAACACGUGGGCAAUCUACCUUUCGGUGAGGAAUACCGGCGAGAAAUCGCCGACAAGACCGCAUACGCUCGGGCAACCGAGCAAAGUCGCAAGACGCCGGAGGAGGAGCCUGCGCCCGAUUAGCUAGUUGGUGAGGUAAGAGCUUACCAAGGCGACGAUCGGUAGCUGGUCUGAGAGGAUGAUCAGCCACACUGGGAUUGAGAACGGCCCAGACUCCUACGGGGGGCAGCAGUGAGGAAUUUUCGUCAAUGGGGGCAACCCUGAACGAGCAACGCCGCGUGCAGGAUGACGCUUUUCGGAGUGUAAACUGCUUUUCUCGGGGAAGAGCAAGGACGGUACCCGAGGGAAUCAGCCCCGGCUAACUACGCGCCAGCAGCCGC